AUGAAGCUGCCACUAAGUGACAAUUUGGUAGCAGCUAUGCAAAAGGAUACAGGCUCUGGUGAUGUUUCUCCUUCUCAUGUAGGACGUGUUAGACAUCGGAGGCGCCCUAAUGAGACUGCCACCGAUGGGAAUAGAGCCAAUGGGACGGUUUUGCUUGUCAGCGACCAGAACAAGUACAAGUCAAUGCUUAUCCGUACAUAUUCAAGUUUGUGGAUGAUUGGAGGCUUUGUGUUCGUAGUUUAUAUGGGUCAUCUUUAUAUCUGGGCCAUGGUGGUUGUGAUUCAAAUAUUUAUGGCAACAGAGCUUUUUAACCUACUCAGAAGAUCCAGCGAAGAGAAACAACUGCCAGGGUUCAGGCUCCUGAAUUGGCACUUCUUCUUCACGGCAAUGUUGUUUACUUAUGGGCGUUUUCUUAGCCGGGAGCUUGUUAACACAGUAACUUCAGAUCACUUGCUGUAUAAGCUCGUCAGCGGCCUAAUAAAGUAUCAGAUGUUUAUUUGCUAUUUUCUUUAUAUUGCAGGAUUUGUAUGGUUUAUUUUGACUCUGAAGAAGAAGACAUACAAUUAUCAGUUCAAACAGUAUGCCUGGACGCACAUGAUCCUUUUAACGGUUUUUGCCCAAUCUUCUUUCACCGUGGCAAAUAUAUUUGAAGGGAUGUUCUGGUUUCUUCUCCCUGCUUCGCUCAUUGUGAUCAAUGACAUUGCUGCGUAUUUAUUUGGGUUUUUUCUCGGGAGAACACCAUUGAUCAAGUUAUCACCAAAGAAAACAUGGGAAGGUUUUAUUGGUGCAUCGGUGACAACCAUCAUCUCUGCUUUUCUGUUGGCAAACGUAAUGGGUCAUUUUCAGUGGUUAACCUGCCCAAGAAAGGACCUGUCGACAGGAUGGCUUACCUGUGAUCCCGGUUCUAUGUUUAAGCCAGAGCAUUACUUUUUGGGGGAUUGGGUGCCACAAUGGUUUCCAUGGAAAGAAGUUUUCCUUUUACCCGUGCAGUGGCAUGCUUUAGCCCUUGGGUUGUUUGCAUCGAUAAUAGCACCAUUUGGAGGAUUUUUCGCAAGUGGCUUCAAGAGGGCUUUUAAAAUAAAGGAUUUUGGCGACAGUAUACCUGGGCAUGGUGGAAUUACUGACCGAAUGGAUUGUCAAAUGGUCAUGGCAGUCUUUGCAUACAUAUAUCACCAAUCAUUUAUCUCACCCCACAAUUUCUCUGUUGACACAAUCUUGGAUCAGAUUGUAAGAAACCUAACCUACGAGGAGCAGAAGUCCUUAUACCAGCAACUAGGAGAGAUCUUCCGUGAAAGGCAGUUUAUGCAAAGCUGA
RNAcentral lists this ribosomal RNA (1314 nucleotides) under Triticum aestivum (bread wheat). Its description in RNAcentral is "partial small subunit ribosomal RNA". The record is from RNAcentral. Lineage: Eukaryota; Viridiplantae; Streptophyta; Magnoliopsida; Poales; Poaceae.